RNAcentral lists this ribosomal RNA (438 nucleotides) under Neisseria arctica. RNAcentral's name for it is "bacterial SSU rRNA". It matches the Rfam family "Bacterial small subunit ribosomal RNA", at positions 21 to 455 of the family's 1533-position model. The record is from RNAcentral. Lineage: Bacteria; Pseudomonadati; Pseudomonadota; Betaproteobacteria; Neisseriales; Neisseriaceae.
GGCUCAGAUUGAACGCUGGCGGCAUGCUUUACACAUGCAAGUCGAACGGCAGCACGAAAGAGCUUGCUCUUUUGGUGGCGAGUGGCGAACGGGUGAGUAAUACAUUGGAACGUACCGAGUAAUGGGGGAUAACUGUCCGAAAGGAUGGCUAAUACCGCAUACGCUCUGAGGAGGAAAGCGGGGGACCUUCGGGCCUCGCGUUAUUCGAGCGGCCAAUGUCUGAUUAGCUAGUUGGUGGGGUAAAGGCCUACCAAGGCGACGAUCAGUAGUGGGUCUGAGAGGAUGAUCCGCCACACUGGGACUGAGACACGGCCCAGACUCCUACGGGAGGCAGCAGUGGGGAAUUUUGGACAAUGGGCGAAAGCCUGAUCCAGCCAUGCCGCGUGUCUGAAGAAGGCCUUCGGGUUGUAAAGGACUUUUGUCAGGGAAGAAAGGGUU